Molecule: long non-coding RNA, 3209 nt
Filed under: Homo sapiens (human)
Lineage: Eukaryota; Metazoa; Chordata; Mammalia; Primates; Hominidae
Description: non-protein coding lnc-NAT9-1:4
Source: RNAcentral
GUUACCGAGCGGCCGGCGCUGGGGUGGCAGGGGCGGGGCUCGCCGAAUUCCCGGUUCUGGGCGGGUGGGCCCGCCGGCUCCGGCCUGGUUUCCCCUACCUGUGGCGGGGAGUGAGGAAAGCCGGCCCUCGGGUAAAGGACCCUAACUUUUUUUUUUUUUUUUGAGACGGAGUCUCGCUCUGUCGCCCAGGCUGGACUGCCGUGGCGCGAUCUCGGAUCACUGCAACCUCCGCCUCCCGGGUUCAAGCGAUUCCCCUGCCUCAGCCUCCCGAGCAGCUGGGGUUACAGGCGCGCACCACCACGCCCCGCUAAUUUUUGUAUUUUUAGUAGAGACGAAAUUUCGCCAUGUUGGCCAGGAUGGUUUCAAACUCCUGACCUCAGGUGAUCCGCCCUGGGAUUACAGACGUGAGCCACCGCACCUGGCCAACGUUUUAACAGCCUUUAGCCAAAGCCUGGGUGCAGCUCCAGUUGAGAGGGAGCGGCUGUUGCCGGGGCAACUGCUCCCGCUCGGGGCAGCGAGGGCCGGUCAGUCUCGAGAAUUAAGACGGAGGGCCUCCUCGGACCCUACAGAGUUGUUUGAAUAACAUUUUUCCGUUUGUGGGAACCCUAACCCUAAUCCACUUUGUGCUGUCCCAGGACUCGCAUAGAGGAGUGCAGGUUCUGAUCCCUGCUGGGAAGAAAAAUGAUUAGGACUGUAAAGCCUUCUAGCUCCCUCUUGCCAAAGAGAGGCUGGUCACAGAGGCGGGAGACAGUCUGUUGAGCGGGGAGCUGACCAUCUGAGGACAGACACUGAGGAAGGAGGAUGGAAUGAUUUUGGCAGUGAAUGACAAUUCCUUCAACAAGACCCCCCCCCCCCACUCACUUCAAAGAAACAGUGGACAGGAUGUGCUUUCCAAAAUACUGCAGUUUAAUUCUGAAAAACUCAAAUGCAAGAGGCCCAGAGCUGUCUAUGGGAUUGGAUCUCCUGCAACCUGCCUUGGGCCCCAGAAGAGACUGGCAAUGUCAGCCUCCUCCCUGCUCUGCCUGAGGGAGGCCACGGAGAACUUCCUUAUCGGGCCCAAACUGGAGCCGCUGACUGCUCAGAGCAAGAUUUCUGCCUUGAAAGCAAAUGCAGUAGCCUCAGAAAUGUGCAGCGCAUACUUCUUCCUCCCCCUCUCCCCCUCCAGGCCGGCAGAGCUGCAGUAAAGAUGCCUGCAGGUCAUGACCUCAUGUUUCCUGUCCACUUCCCAUGGCAGGGAUCGGAGCUUUGGGAGAUAUGUGACCAAGGAGGACACAUGAACUUGCUACCCCUCUCUCUACCCCAGACAUACCCACAUGACUUUGUUUUACUCAUAUUGCAUUGGUUUAACUCGGAAAUGGGUGACCUCCCACCACCUAACCUGACUCAGUAGGAGGGGAGGUAAAGCAGUUUAGGCCCUGGUAUCUGUUUGAGAAGUUAAAGGAAAGGGCAUGGGUGGUCAGGGAGGAGGCAGAGCUUGGGGUCAAAGGGAUACAUGUCAGGGGAGGUUUGCUUAAUCUUGUCUCCCACCAGCUCCAGGAGCCAGGGAUUUCUCUUUUUUUUCACAACACAUUCCAAACCUAGGAAAGGGAUUUCUCCUUAUCUGGCUCUUAACCCAGGAGGGCUAAACACUUCAGCUGCUUGAAGAAAUCGCCUGUGGAGCUGCAUGCCUGCCAAAGGAUUGGGAUAAGACACAUCUAGCCUGGGCAUGGUGCCUUCUGCGUGUAAUCCCAGUACUUUGGGAGGCCGAGGCCGGCAGGUUGCUUGAGCUCAGGAAUUCAAGACCAGCCUGGGCAACAUGGCGAAACCCUGUGUCUACAAAAAAUACAAAAAUUAGCCAGGUGUGAUGGUACACACCUAUAGUCCCAGCUACUUCGGCGGCUGAGGUGGGAGGAUCGCUUGAGCCCCAGGGAGUGGAGGUUGUAGUGAGCGGAGAUUGCACUACUGCACCUCAGCCUGGGCGACAGAACGAGACUCCAUUUCAAAAAAAUAAAAACAAAACUCUUUUCCUAGUUCUGACCUGAGGUUUUUAGGUGCACAGGCAGGAAGGUAGCUAAGCCAGGGAUUCAGGGGGGGGAGGGGCUCCCCCAGGAUCUGAAGUCCAGAGAACAGGAGCCUGGAACCAAUAUUUCCAGGUGCCCCAAUGUGCUUGUGUGCUGGAGAAAAGGGGCAUGCCUCCAGGGGGGUGUUAGUAAGGCCAGAGAUAGCCAGCUAGACCCUACUCUCUGCCCCUUGUCCUCCCCCUCCCAUCUCCAUAUCUCUUAUCUUCCCUGAGGCUUUGGUCUUCCUCACAGCACAAGGGCCCACUUAUUUGGGAGAUGGGGCGAAGAUAAGCUCCUGGAGAGCGGGAGACAGUGAAGGCUGGGGUCACCUGAGCCUCUGUCCAGCUGAACUGAGGGUGCGAUGGAGUCAUUACCUGCCCUCACCCCCAAAGUGCAUCUGUGUCCCCUGGGGCUGAGCUGGAGCAACACCACCUUUGUUAUGCUUAGGAGGGAGGGCCGGCCCCCCAAGUCCUAGAAAGCAAAAGGGCCACUAGCUCCCAGCCUCGGUUUUUUGGGGAUCCAGGCGCCUUUUUUGGUAUUAAAUUAUGUACUAUUAAAAUAAAAGCUAAGUGUUUUACCCUCCCUGUGGAUGCGGGGAGACCGCAGGAACUCAAGUAGGAGUUGGAGUAUAGCUCCCUGCUAGGAAGCGGCUGUGCAGUGAGUCCUCCAUCUUUCUCCCCAUUGGCUCAGCCUCUUGGAAUAAGCCAGGCCUGGGAGGGGGAAGGCUGCAUCCUGUGUGCCUCCAGAGCCUCCUCUCUGCCCCCUGGGAUUCACAUGAAGGAGCAGCAGCUGGAGCGCUUCUUCUGGGACUCUACAUAGUCUCGGAUCUGGAAGCUGGGCUCAUCCGCCUGAUGCCCGGCCCGGUAUUUCAGUUCCCUUGAAGAAGAGACAAUGGGCUGGGCUGGGCUGGGCUGGGCUGGGGUGAGGAGCUGAGCCGCCCCCUCCCCUCUCCCAGUGGCCCAGUGCUCCCAGAGCAAAUGGACCUCAGCCUGCAGAAUGCAGGUGUGUCCAGGGGCUGGGCCAGGGGCCGGGCCCUACUGGAUUCCUGGAGUGUGCCGCCCUGCCCCGCACACUUCCCUUCCCUGCCCAGCUCUCACUUGGCGAUGGCCAGAAAGGCUAACUCCACAUUCAUGCCAGUCUUGGCGCUGGUCUCCAGGAAGGGAACACCGU